AAGUCGUUACAGCUCUUUUACUAUUUGUUUAGCAGGUUCUUACUGUGUUGAGCCAACA
RNAcentral lists this small nuclear RNA (58 nucleotides) under Xenopus borealis (Kenyan clawed frog). It matches the Rfam family "U7 small nuclear RNA". From Rfam's summary of the family: Animal histone pre-mRNAs are spliced by a different mechanism than nuclear pre-mRNAs and self-splicing introns. This processing involves the U7 snRNP, which contains only one RNA species: U7. Lineage: Eukaryota; Metazoa; Chordata; Amphibia; Anura; Pipidae. The record is from RNAcentral.